UCCGGUUUGUCACCGGCAGUCCCAUUAGAGUGCCCAACUGAAUGUGGCAACUAAUGGCAAGGGUUGCACUCGUUGCGGGACUUAACCCAACAUCUCACGACACGAGCUGACGACAGCCAUGCAGCACCUGUGUACCUCCCACCCGAAGUGAAGGAAUCCAUCUCUGGAAACCAUAGAGGGCAUGUCAAAGCCUGGUAAGGUUCUUCGCGUUGCCUCGAAUUAAACCACAUGUUCCACCGCUUGUGCGGGUCCCCGUCAAUUCCUUUGAGUUUUAAUCUUGCGACCGUACUCCCCAGGCGGGAUGCUUAACGCGUUAGCUGCGCCACCGGGAGGUAACCCCCCGACGGCUAGCAUCCAUCGUUUACAGCGUGGACUAC
RNAcentral lists this unclassified non-coding RNA (377 nucleotides) under uncultured Rickettsiales bacterium. RNAcentral describes it as "contains 16S-23S intergenic spacer region". The record is from RNAcentral. Lineage: Bacteria; Pseudomonadati; Pseudomonadota; Alphaproteobacteria; Rickettsiales.